UCAAAACAGCGGACUUCGGUCUUUGCUGCACCCUUGUCUUUUGCGCACCGAAUUGUUUCCUCGGCGGGCUUGCCUGCCGGUUGGACAUUACAAAACCUUUGUGUAGUUGCAAUCAGCGUCAGAAAAAUCAUAAUUAUUA
Molecule: unclassified non-coding RNA, 139 nt
Filed under: soil metagenome
Description: partial internal transcribed spacer 1
Source: RNAcentral